This 398-nucleotide long non-coding RNA is filed under the name Rattus norvegicus (Norway rat). RNAcentral's name for it is "long non-coding RNA NONRATT020234". The record is from RNAcentral. Lineage: Eukaryota; Metazoa; Chordata; Mammalia; Rodentia; Muridae.
CGGCCGCGGCGGGAGUGUGGAGUCGCGUCCCCCGCUGCCGAGCCAGGGACAUAGCAAGCUUCUCAAGACAUGGUUAAGAAGCUUCCUUUCUUUGUGAGAAUCUAGUGAAUGGACCUGACUGGACUUUUUAAGCCCAUCAAUAAACAUGAGCGGUACCAAGCCUGAUAUUUUGUGGGCACCACACCAGGUUGAUAGAUUCGUUGUAUGUGACUCAGAGCUGAGCCUUUAUCAUGUGGAAUCGGCUGUGAAUUCAGAACUCAAAGCUGGAUCAUUACGUUUAUCUGAAGACUCUGCAGCUACAUUACUGUCAAUAAACUCAGAUACACCCUAUAUGAAAUGUGUUGCGUGGUAUCUCAAUUAUGAUCCUGAGUGUCUCCUAGCAGUUGGACAAGCAAAUG